AUCCCAGGAGCUUGCUCCUGGGUGAGAGUGGCGAACGGGUGAGUAAUGCGUGACCGACCUGCCCCAUACACCGGAAUAGCUCCUGGAAACGGGUGGUAAUGCCGGAUGCUCCAGUUGGAUGCAUGUCCUUCUGGGAAAGAUUCAUCGGUAUGGGAUGGGGUCGCGUCCUAUCAGCUUGAUGGCGGGGUAACGGCCCACCAUGGCUUCGACGGGUAGCCGGCCUGAGAGGGCGACCGGCCACAUUGGGACUGAGAUACGGCCCAGACUCCUACGGGAGGCAGCAGUGGGGAAUAUUGCACAAUGGGCGCAAGCCUGAUGCAGCGACGCCGCGUGCGGGAUGACGGCCUUCGGGUUGUAAACCGCUUUUGACUGGGAGCAAGCCCUUCGGGGUGAGUGUACCUUUCGAAUAAGCACCGGCUAACUACGUGCCAGCAGCCGCGGUAAUACGUAGGGUGCAAGCGUUAUCCGGAAUUAUUGGGCGUAAAGGGCUCGUAGGCGGUUCGUCGCGUCCGGUGUGAAAGUCCAUCGCUUAACGGUGGAUCCGCGCCGGGUACGGGCGGGCUUGAGUGCGGUAGGGGAGACUGGAAUUCCCGGUGUAACGGUGGAAUGUGUAGAUAUCGGGAAGAACACCAAUGGCGAAGGCAGGUCUCUGGGCCGUCACUGACGCUGAGGAGCGAAAGCGUGGGGAGCGAACAGGAUUAGAUACCCUGGUAGUCCACGCCGUAAACGGUGGAUGCUGGAUGUGGGGACCAUUCCACGGUCUCCGUGUCGGANCCAACGCGUUAAGCAUCCCGCCUGGGGAGUACGGCCGCAAGGCUAAAACUCAAAGAAAUUGACGGGGGCCCGCACAAGCGGCGGA
RNAcentral lists this ribosomal RNA (859 nucleotides) under Bifidobacterium adolescentis. RNAcentral's name for it is "bacterial SSU rRNA". It matches the Rfam family "Bacterial small subunit ribosomal RNA", at positions 69 to 936 of the family's 1533-position model. The record is from RNAcentral. Lineage: Bacteria; Bacillati; Actinomycetota; Actinomycetes; Bifidobacteriales; Bifidobacteriaceae.